AUUGAACGCUGGCGGCCGGCCUAACACAUGCAAGUCGAGCGAGCGGCGGACGGGUGAGUAAUGUCUGGGAAACUGCCUGAUGGAGGGGGCUAACUACUGGAAACGGUAGAUACUACCGCAUACCAUCAGAUGUGCCCAGAUGGGCUUAGCUAGUAGGUGGGGUAACGGCUAACCUAGGCGACGAUCCCUAGCUGGUCUGAGAGGAUGACCAGCAACACUGUAACUGAGACACGGUCCAGAGUCCGACGGGAUGCAGCAGUGGGGAAUAUUGCACAAUUGGCGCAAGCCUGAUGCAGCCAGGCCGCGUGUGUGAAGAAGGCCUUCGGGUUGUAAAGCACUUUCAGCGGGGAGGCGUUACCCGCAGAAGAAGCACCGGCUAACUCCGUGCCAGCAGCAGCGUAAUAC
This 405-nucleotide ribosomal RNA is filed under the name uncultured bacterium. RNAcentral's name for it is "partial 16S ribosomal RNA". It matches the Rfam family "Bacterial small subunit ribosomal RNA", at positions 30 to 526 of the family's 1533-position model. The record is from RNAcentral.